RNAcentral lists this long non-coding RNA (1957 nucleotides) under Fragaria vesca (wild strawberry). RNAcentral's name for it is "long non-coding RNA (FVES_LNC001195)". Lineage: Eukaryota; Viridiplantae; Streptophyta; Magnoliopsida; Rosales; Rosaceae. The record is from RNAcentral.
AAAAGAUGAUUAGAAUAUGAGUGGUAGUUUCACAAUUAACAAUACCUCGAAUGGUAAUCUACUCUGCAAGCACACACAUAGUUUCCUUGAUAAAAAACUAAUACAAUAAACUUAAUUGAUAAAAUGAAAAACAUAACAUUCAAACCUGCAUAUAUAUGAACAUCUGUACAAGUAUAAACUCAGAGCAACAGAAUAACAAUGAAAGAGAGAAUGAACUCACAUAAACUAUUAAUUAUGAGUCUGGUUAGUAGAAGUCUUGUUCUAGUCAUAUUUAUCUAUUACAUAAAACCACAGAAAACCAUAAAGCCUGAUGGAACUAAUAUAAUUUGCAUAGAUUUGCAUCAUGUGCCUAAAUACAUCUAAAAGUUUACAGAGCAUAGAUAAGUGUAUAUCUAGCUAUGUGCCAAUGUAGAUCUUAACUUCUACAAAUUUUGUACCUGCAAUUCAAAAAGAGAUAAAUGAUUGCCUACACUUACUAUAGAAAGAGAAAAUAAUCCUAAGUUGAUUGCUUCUUCUCAAAUCCUCCAGCACAAAAGUUAAAAAUGCAACAGAUGAGUGCUUAUAAAAGAAUUAGAGGAGCAAAAACAAGUUUGUACCUGCAAUCCAUUAUUUUAACAUCUGUAUACCCACAUUAUGAUCCAAUGACAACCAUUCCACCAUCACCUUGCUCUUGCUCACUUUCUGGUCAAGGAUUGCUCUCGAGUUCCCAAAAUUUCCCACAUACAAAACAUCGAUCAUUUGUUAACAUCACAAAUUAGAUAUUAAGCCAAAACCUCAACGUAAUCACACAAAAUCUAUGAAACUAGAAUACAUAAUCCAUUAUUUAUAAUCCCUCACUGCAGCUCUACACAUUACUACAAAAAAAAAGUGAGAACAUGCAAUGUAGCCUAGUGAGGCAAUUUAACAAACAUCUGGUGUGCAUAAGAUCAGCAUUCGACAAACAUCCUAGGAUGAAGUACCAGCCCUUCUCAAUUUCGUCACCUACCACACAAACCCCGCAUCCCCAAUAUGAAGAAAACCCAACAAAAGCAAAUUUCAAAGAAAAUUCUAUAUUUGAACCCUAAUUUCCCAAAUCCAAUCCAAGCAAACACUAAAUCAGCUUACAAUAAGUCAAAGAGCUUACUGGCAAAGACAACAGGGAACCCAAAAUCUAUGAGUGCGCACUGAAGUUCGUCUUUUGUCAAACCCUAAUUUUGUGGCCGGCCGGUAGAUCGAGGGUGGGAGAUCGAAAUGGGUUCUUCGUGGGGAUGAGGUUCUUUUGGUUCAAGGGACUGAAGCGUUGAGAUUUUAGUUCACUCAAGGACAUAUCUAGUUGAGGGUGCUGGGUUUUCAGUUUCCUUUUGUUGAGAAUAAGAGUUGUCGGGCAGAGAGAAUGACAAUUGAGUUCAAACAAAAAAAGAGAAUAGAUAGUUGAUUUAAGUAAAAACCACCGCUGGACAAAUUUUUUUGUUUUAAAGAGACGAUACUCUUCUGUCGUCUUAAAAUGUUCAUAUCAAUUGUAAAAUUUCUCUUGUUUUUAAGACAACAGAUGGUUGUCGUCUCAUGAACACGCUAGUUUUAACUGUCUGUGGGUUGCUACAUUCAGACGACAGAAUUUUAAAUAUCUGUCGUAAAAUUUAAUCAGACGACAGUAAAAACGACUUCUGUCGUCUGAUACAUGUCGUAUGAUUGCAAAAUGCGUAGUGAAUUGAUUUGAUAAACCUAUCUUCUUCAGCAUAUUGAUGUUCCAAACUAGUUUUGGACCAAAAAGAUGUAUCCUACAACUGUUUGAAAGUGUUCAAUUGUACAGCGUUUGUUCAUGUUCCUAAAGAUGAGAGAGCAAAUCUCGAUUCCAAGUCGAAUGACUGCAUCUUCUUGGGAUAUUGAAAUGAAGAACUCAGGUAUACGAUAUGUGAUCAUGUUAAGAAAAAGAUUGUUAAAAGCAUAGAUGUUGUUUUCUUUGAAGACCAAGUUAUUG